Molecule: ribosomal RNA, 572 nt
Filed under: uncultured Glomeromycotina
Lineage: Eukaryota; Fungi; Glomeromycota
Description: SSU rRNA
Rfam family: Eukaryotic small subunit ribosomal RNA
Source: RNAcentral
UUGGAGGGCAAGUCUGGUGCCAGCAGCCGCGGUAAUUCCAGCUCCAAUAGCGUAUAUUAAGGUUGUUGCAGUUAAAAAGCUCGUAGUUGAAUUUCGGGAUUGACGUGAUGGUCAUGCCUUAAGGGGUAUGAACUGUUACAGUUGAUUUCUCACCUUCUGGAGAAACUUAAUGUCCUUUAUUGGGUGUCUUGCGGAUCCAGGACCUUUACCUUGAAAAAAUUAGAGUGUUUAAAGCAGGCAUUUUUGCUCGAAUACAUUAGCAUGGAAUAAUAGAAUAGGACGGCAUGGUUCUAUUUUGUUGGUUUCUAGGAUCACCGUAAUGAUUAAUAGGGAUAGUUGGGGGCAUUAGUAUUCAAUUGUCAGAGGUGAAAUUCUUGGAUUUAUUGAAGACUAACUACUGCGAAAGCAUUUGCCAAGGAUGUUUUCAUUAAUCAAGAACGAAAGUUAGGGGAUCGAAGACGAUCAGAUACCGUCGUAGUCUUAACCAUAAACUAUGCCGACUAGGAAUCAGACGAUGUUAAUUUUUUAAUGACUCGUUUGGCACCUUACGGGAAACCAAAGUGUUUGGGUUC